GAUGAACGCUGGCGGUAUGCUUAACACAUGCAAGUCGAACGGUCUCUUCGGAGAUAGUGGCGGACGGGUGAGUAACGCGUAAGAAUCUACCUUCAGGUUGGGGACAACCACUGGAAACGGUGGCUAAUACCGAAUGUGCCGAGAGGUGAAAGGCUUGCUGCCUGAAGAAGAGCUUGCGUCUGAUUAGCUAGUUGGUGUGGUAAAGGCGCACCAAGGCGACGAUCAGUAGCUGGUCUGAGAGGAUGAUCAGCCACACUGGGACUGAGACACGGCCCAGACUCCUACGGGAGGCAGCAGUGGGGAAUUUUCCGCAAUGGGCGAAAGCCUGACGGAGCAAUACCGCGUGAGGGAGGAAGGCUCUUGGGUUGUAAACCUCUUUUCUCAGGGAAGAAAAAAA
Molecule: ribosomal RNA, 397 nt
Filed under: uncultured Anabaena sp.
Lineage: Bacteria; Bacillati; Cyanobacteriota; Cyanophyceae; Nostocales; Nostocaceae
Description: bacterial SSU rRNA
Rfam family: Bacterial small subunit ribosomal RNA
Source: RNAcentral